CUGAGGUGUGCUGUGAACAACUCAGUGCGUCCAAAGCAAGCGUGACUUGGUUGCAUGAUUCCGCGCGGGAUGGCAAAGGAUCGACCAUAGGUGGAAACAGAUGUUCUCUUGAGUCCGCAAAGGGCAACGCAACGUUGGCGCCCCCAAAUCGACGGAGGCAAUCCGCUUCCGCGGUCGUCCUCACCGGGCAGCUGGGCGGUGUUAGCUCUGAACGGCAGUGAUGGGUCUGUUCAUCGUGAUGGAUAUUGACAUGCCAGAGGAGAAAU
RNAcentral lists this ribosomal RNA (266 nucleotides) under Eutreptiella gymnastica. Its description in RNAcentral is "partial Eukaryotic small subunit ribosomal RNA". The record is from RNAcentral. Lineage: Eukaryota; Euglenozoa; Euglenophyceae; Eutreptiales; Eutreptiaceae.